AUUUGAAAUCUGGCGCAAGCCCGAGUUGUAAUUUGUAGAGGAUGCUUCUGGGUAGCGGCCGGUCUAAGUUCCUUGGAACAGGACGCAAUAGAGGGUGAGAAUCCCGAAUGUGACUGGAUUGCACCCUCCACGGAGCUCCUUCGACGAGGAGAGUUGAUUGGUAGUGCAGCUCUAAGUGGGAGGUUAAUUUCUUCUAAAGCUAAAUACCGGCCAGAGACCGAUAGCGCACAAGUAGAGUGAUCGAAAGAUGAAAAGCACUUUGGAAAGAGAGUUAAAAAGCACGUGAAAUUGUUGAAAGACUUCUUCCCGCAACCAGGUUUUGCGGCAGGGUUCGGCCGUUCUUCUGACCGG
This 351-nucleotide ribosomal RNA is filed under the name Pseudocercospora macadamiae. Its description in RNAcentral is "eukaryotic LSU rRNA". It matches the Rfam family "Eukaryotic large subunit ribosomal RNA", at positions 113 to 467 of the family's 3401-position model. Lineage: Eukaryota; Fungi; Ascomycota; Dothideomycetes; Mycosphaerellales; Mycosphaerellaceae. The record is from RNAcentral.